GGGCUAGUGGCGGAAUGGUAUACGCGCAACACUUAAAAUGUUGUCCGCUCUGCGGAUGUGGGUUCGACUCCCACCUGGCCCA
Molecule: transfer RNA, 82 nt
Filed under: Parcubacteria group bacterium RIFOXYD2_FULL_52_8
Lineage: Bacteria
Description: tRNA-Leu
Rfam family: tRNA
About the family: Transfer RNA (tRNA) molecules are approximately 80 nucleotides in length. Their secondary structure includes four short double-helical elements and three loops (D, anti-codon, and T loops). Further hydrogen bonds mediate the characteristic L-shaped molecular structure. tRNAs have two regions of fundamental functional importance: the anti-codon, which is responsible for specific mRNA codon recognition, and the 3' end, to which the tRNAs corresponding amino acid is attached (by aminoacyl-tRNA synthetases). tRNAs cope with the degeneracy of the genetic code in two manners: having more than one tRNA (with a specific anti-codon) for a particular amino acid; and 'wobble' base-pairing, i.e. permitting non-standard base-pairing at the 3rd anti-codon position.
Source: RNAcentral